Long non-coding RNA from Salvia miltiorrhiza (redroot sage), 891 nucleotides. RefSeq lists it as uncharacterized. The transcript is spliced from 2 exons. Lineage: Eukaryota; Viridiplantae; Streptophyta; Magnoliopsida; Lamiales; Lamiaceae. The record is from RefSeq and is a predicted model, not a curated record.
UUAGAACACCCUAAGAGAACGGAUUAAUUUUUAUUAAUUAUUCGGCUUCAUGAGACGAGACUUAGCUUUUGUUUAAAUCCGAUAGCCUGGAUUAACAAUAGAAAUUCUCUGAUUAUUAUUUCAGAAUAAUAAUUCAUGCAUAAGGAUCAUGCAUAGUUAAAUACACAUUCUCAUUUGAGGAUUUUUAUUCGAGCAAAUAUCUUAUACAUGUACAUAUAUUCUCGUAAUAAAGGUCAAGGGCGAGAUUGAUAAUCUAUUGAGGAGCUUUUGUAUCACAGAAAAUCACUAUCAGGUGGGCAUUACUUUCAUAUAUAUCAAAUGAGUUUAAUGUUAUGUUUGAACAGUUAUUUCAUUGCAAAAUCAUUGAACUGAAAAUUAUUUCAACUGUUGUCUUGCCAUAAAUGUUUCAAUGUUUGGUAUGAUAUCUAUCUGAUGUGGCUUUGCCAGUUAUUAUGCAAUCGAAUUCGGGUCCUGAGCAGUUGAUAGCUAUCCUGCCAGGGCUAGUGUACACCAGUGACCGUGAGUCAUCUAGCGGGUUGGCCGGUCAAGUGACCGUGAGAGGUGGCCACCUCUCCGGCACACAGUUCCAGAUAUGAUAGAUUACAAGAGAACUUAGACUGCAGUCGAACUUUAAGAAUCACAAAUGAAAUUAGUUGAGCAGCUGCCGAUGGUGAUGAAGUGACGAGCGGGACUCUUUUGUAUUAUUAUGUAUUAAUGAACUCUAGGGUUACAUGUCUUCAUACAUGUAAUCAGAACCAUAUUCCGCUGCGUACUCAGAAGUUUUAUGUUAUUUUGAAUAAGUCGGAGUUAUCCGAACUUACUAAUUAUUUGAGUCUACACGACUAAAACUCCGUUAUAUUAUAAAUAUCCAUGUUGUUAAAAAUGAUGAAA